UACGGGGGGAGCAAGCGUUGUUCGGAUUUACUGGGCGUAAAGGGCGCGUAGGCGGUCGUGACAAGUCACUUGUGAAAUCUCCGGGCUUAACUCGGAACGGUCAAGUGAUACUGUCGGACUAGAGUACAGAAGGGGCAACUGGAAUUCUCGGUGUAGCGGUGAAAUGCGUAGAUAUCGAGAGGAACACCUGCGGCGAAGGCGGGUUGCUGGGCUGUUACUGACGCUGAGGCGCGAAAGCCAGGGGAGCGAACGGG
RNAcentral lists this ribosomal RNA (254 nucleotides) under uncultured bacterium. RNAcentral's name for it is "partial 16S ribosomal RNA". It matches the Rfam family "Bacterial small subunit ribosomal RNA", at positions 524 to 776 of the family's 1533-position model. The record is from RNAcentral.